GACGAACGCUGGCGGCGUGCUUAACACAUGCAAGUCGAACGGAAAGGCCCUGCUUUUGUGGGGUGCUCGAGUGGCGAACGGGUGAGUAACACGUGAGUAACCUGCCCUUGACUUUGGGAUAACUUCAGGAAACUGGGGCUAAUACCGGAUAGGAGCUCCUGCUGCAUGGUGGGGGUUGGAAAGUUUCGGCGGUUGGGGAUGGACUCGCGGCUUAUCAGCUUGUUGGUGGGGUAGUGGCUUACCAAGGCUUUGACGGGUAGCCGGCCUGAGAGGGUGACCGGCCACCUUGGGACUGAGGUACGGCCCCGACUCCUACGGGAGGCAGCAGUGGGGAAUAUUGCACAAUGGGCGGAAGCCUGAUGCAGCAACGCCGCGUGCGGGAUGACGGCCUUCGGGUUGUAAACCGCUUUCGCCUGUGACGAAGCGUGAGUGACGGUAAUGGGUAAAGAAGCACCGGCUAACUACGUG
This 468-nucleotide ribosomal RNA is filed under the name uncultured bacterium. RNAcentral's name for it is "partial 16S ribosomal RNA". It matches the Rfam family "Bacterial small subunit ribosomal RNA", at positions 28 to 507 of the family's 1533-position model. The record is from RNAcentral.